RNAcentral lists this ribosomal RNA (254 nucleotides) under uncultured bacterium. RNAcentral's name for it is "partial 16S ribosomal RNA". It matches the Rfam family "Bacterial small subunit ribosomal RNA", at positions 524 to 777 of the family's 1533-position model. The record is from RNAcentral.
UACAGAGGGUGCAAGCGUUGUUCGGAAUUAUUGGGCGUAAAGCGCGUGUAGGCGGCUUUGCAAGUCGGGUGUGAAAUCCCUCGGCUCAACCGAGGAAGUGCGCCCGAAACUGCAGAGCUUGAGUACCGGAGAGGAUGGCGGAAUUCCCCAAGUAGAGGUGAAAUUCGUAGAUAUGGGGAGGAACACCGGUGGCGAAGGCGGCCAUCUGGACGGAUACUGACGCUGAGACGCGAAAGCGUGGGGAGCAAACAGGG